RNAcentral lists this ribosomal RNA (419 nucleotides) under uncultured bacterium. RNAcentral's name for it is "partial 16S ribosomal RNA". It matches the Rfam family "Bacterial small subunit ribosomal RNA", at positions 360 to 776 of the family's 1533-position model. The record is from RNAcentral.
AAUAUUGGUCAAUGGAGGCAACUCUGAACCAGCCAAGUCGCGUGAAGGAUGAAGGUCUUAUGGAUUGUAAACUUCUUUUGCAAGGGAAUAAAGUGGGGGACGAGUCCCCCUAUGCACUUUCCUUGCCAAUGAUGAUCGGCUACCUCCGUGCAAGCAGCCGCGGUAAUACGGAGGAUCCGAGCGUUAGCCAGAUUUAGUGGGUUUAAAGGGUGCGCAGGCGGGAUGUUAAGUCGGCGGUGAAAUGUUGCAGCUCAACUGUAAAAGUGCCUUCGAUACUGGCUUUCUUGGAUGUGGAUGAAGUAGGCGGAAUUUGUGGUGUAGCGGUGAAAUGCUUAGAUAUCACGAGGAACUCCGAUUGCGCAGGCAGCUUACUAAACCACUACUGACGCUCACGCACGAAGGCGUGGGGAUCAAACAGG